This 138-nucleotide small nucleolar RNA is filed under the name Ornithorhynchus anatinus (platypus). Lineage: Eukaryota; Metazoa; Chordata; Mammalia; Monotremata; Ornithorhynchidae. The record is from RNAcentral.
UCCCUCUCAGGAUCGCAUCUGCAGAGUUUCCAGUACUCUACCAGUCUCGGCUAUGGGAGGGAGAGUCAAGCAGAGGCCUACCCAUUCCAUUCCUAGUUUGAGCGGUGGCUGGCGGGUGGAAGGCAAUCUGCCACAAGU